RNAcentral lists this ribosomal RNA (506 nucleotides) under uncultured bacterium. Its description in RNAcentral is "partial 16S ribosomal RNA". It matches the Rfam family "Bacterial small subunit ribosomal RNA", at positions 29 to 523 of the family's 1533-position model. The record is from RNAcentral.
AGUGAACGCUGGCGGUAGGCCUAACACAUGCAAGUCGAACGGCAGCACAGAGGAGCUUGCUCCUUGGGUGGCGAGUGGCGGACGGGUGAGGAAUACAUCGGAAUCUACUCUGUCGUGGGGGAUAACGUAGGGAAACUUACGCUAAUACCGCAUACGACCUACGGGGGAAAGCAGGGGACCUUCGGGCCUUGAGCGAUUGAAUGAGCCGAUGUCGGAUUAGCUAGUUGGCGGGGUAAAGGCCCACCAAGGCGACGAUCCGUAGCUGGUCUGAGAGGAUGAUCAGCCACACUGGAACUGAGACACGGUCCAGACUCCUACGGGAGGCAGCAGUGGGGAAUAUUGGACAAUGGGCGCAAGCCUGAUCCAGCCAUACCGCGUGGGUGAAGAAGGCCUUCGGGUUGUAAAGCCCUUUUGUUGGGAAAGAAAUCCAGCUGGCUAAUACCCGGUUGGGAUGACGGUACCCAAAGAAUAAGCACCGGCUAACUUCGUGCCAGCCGCCGCAGUAA